Molecule: long non-coding RNA, 2111 nt
Organism: Cervus elaphus (red deer)
Lineage: Eukaryota; Metazoa; Chordata; Mammalia; Artiodactyla; Cervidae
Exons: 4
Source: RefSeq, a predicted model, not a curated record
GGCGCCCGCCCACCUCAGGCCCCGCCUCCACGCUUCCGGGGCCUCCUUGCCUUCCGGAUUCCGCAGCGCGCCGGAGAUGCGUCAUCUCCUAAGGCCUCCAAUCGUAGUUUCUUUUUCCUGAGCUGGUUGGGCAAGUGAGAGUGUCAGGUGCAUUAUUGUUAGCGACUGCACUUUUGGUCUUGGUUUGGAAACCAAACCGCCGAGCUAGUUUUCACUGAUGCCGCCAACAGUUAUAUGGAUGGGCACGUUCUCAGUUCAGUCCAGUCGCUGAGUCGUAUCCAACUCUUUGCGACCCCUAUGGACAGCACAGCCAGGCUUCCCUGUCCAUCACCAACUCCUAGAACUUGCUUAAACUCAUGGCCAUACAGUCGGUGAUGCUAGCCAACCAUUUCAUCCUCUGUCGCCCCCUUUCUCCUCCUGCUUUCAAACUUUCCCAGCACCAGGGUCUUUUCCAAUGAGUCAGUUCUCAUCAGGUGGCCAAAGUAUUGGAGCUUCAGCAUCCGUCCUUCCCACAAAUAUUUAGGACUGAUUUCCCUUAGGAUUCGCUGAUUUGAUCGUUCCAAUAUGGAAGUAUCUCCUGAUUCUGAAAUCCCUAAAUGGGAACUAUAACUACCAUAUUUUGUUCCUAUUCAGAAUCUGAAGCUGACAAGAGCUUACCUGGGCUGUGGGAUUCAUGGGAGGACAUACAGGUCCCUGUUCCAGUUCAGAGCUACUUGAUGGUACCAACACGUUGAAUAUGAACUGAUUACUUUGCUGGCCAAACACUCGGCUUUCUUUGCCCACUGAAGCCAAAUAAAAAAUACAGAGACAGAGUUUGAAAGAAACAGAAAAAUGGCUUUAAUGCUCAGCCAUUAAAGAGGAGCUUGUGUUCUUCCUCUUGCUUUGUUUCAAAAUCAGUCAUAGGCUGGUGUCAGUAACCCAGUAAUCGAGUCUGACAAUUUGUGGCUCUGUGGCCUUCUUUCUGAUAUGUAAGAAAGAAGAACUACAAGGGGAAGAGUGUGCUAUAAAGAUGAGCACCAGAUACAGUUUGUAUUUAGCAUACAGUCAAAGGAUAAUAUGUGCAAAAUGUAGCUCCUGCAGAGUUAGGGGGCAGGAAAGCAAACUUACAGGCAUGAAGAGUUAGGAUCAGUUAAAGUAAGAAAAGAAAGAAUAUUUAGGCCUGCUCACUGUUCUAUCUUCAUUAUUCUCAGGAGAGGAAACAAAAAACUUAUUUCAUCUCUUUUUUUUUCCACUGAAACAAUUACUCAAAGUCUCAGAUCCUCUUUAGAUAAAAUGCUGAUGUGCAGAGACCAGGUAACACUAAUGGUUGUGAUUCCAUAAAUGCUAUUGUUAUGAUUACUGGCUGGAAAGGACCUUGUGAGAUAUUACAUCCUAGUUUGCAGAUGCCAACCCAAGUUUCAAAAGCCGGAGUAAUAAACCUGAAGUCUCCAGCUCUCUGAGUGCGGUGCUUGGUUUCUUGAGCACUGGUUUCUGAAACAUUUCUGGAGGCCCCAGCGAGAUUCCAACCAUGCUGGCCCCUUGAGCCGCAGGACUGGUGGCUCAGCAGAGGAGCCCCAAGAUGAACGAGGAGGCACGCCACCUGACGGUAUUCUGGGUUCUCUUUUGGAUCGGCAUUCUGACUCUCCGGAGGGCUGAGCCCCGACCAGACUCACUAGAGGACCCGACCAACUCACCAGGAUUGGCCACAGGAAAAGAGGCCUCUGCAGGACACAGAAGACAGCCUGCCCAGGGACGGUGGGAGCUCCUGGUGACCAGGCACGGGACGUGAGAGGGAAGGACCAGGCUGAGGGGGGCCUUUCUGCUCUGAGCUGGGAGUGGACAAGCCAGUGGAGAGAAUUCUGAAAAAGAUACACACAGUGCUUUAGGGUCAAUUCUUACAGACGUUGCGUGGACUGCAGGAUAGCUACACUUCUGUCUGAAAGCAUAAAGCACCUCGGGAGAAGCGGUGAACCUCGCGCCCAGAGUGAAGUGCUGGCACGAGGCCGGAUGACAACUUUUACACUAACUUGUACACAGACAAUCUCCUCCUUCCCCGACUGAUCUUCUAGAUAGAAGGACGCCAGGUCCCUGGGGCACUAAGCAAAGAGUUCAGAGUCCGCUGGAGAGGCAGC